This 1527-nucleotide ribosomal RNA is filed under the name Salmonella enterica subsp. enterica serovar Bareilly. RNAcentral describes it as "partial 23S ribosomal RNA". It matches the Rfam family "Bacterial large subunit ribosomal RNA", at positions 1290 to 2802 of the family's 2925-position model. Lineage: Bacteria; Pseudomonadati; Pseudomonadota; Gammaproteobacteria; Enterobacterales; Enterobacteriaceae. The record is from RNAcentral.
GCGAAUGCUGACAUAAGUAACGAUAAAGCGGGUGAAAAGCCCGCUCGCCGGAAGACCAAGGGUUCCUGUCCAACGUUAAUCGGGGCAGGGUGAGUCGACCCCUAAGGCGAGGCCGAAAGGCGUAGUCGAUGGGAAACGGGUUAAUAUUCCCGUACUUGGUGUUACUGCGAAGGGGGGACGGAGAAGGCUAUGUUGGCCGGGCGACGGUUGUCCCGGUUUAAGCGUGUAGGCUGGUUUUCCAGGCAAAUCCGGAAAAUCAAGGCUGAGGCGUGACGACGAGGCACUACGGUGCUGAAGCAACAAAUGCCCUGCUUCCAGGAAAAGCCUCUAAGCAUCAGGUAACAUCAAAUCGUACCCCAAACCGACACAGGUGGUCAGGUAGAGAAUACCAAGGCGCUUGAGAGAACUCGGGUGAAGGAACUAGGCAAAAUGGUGCCGUAACUUCGGGAGAAGGCACGCUGACACGUAGGUGAAGUGAUUUACUCAUGGAGCUGAAGUCAGUCGAAGAUACCAGCUGGCUGCAACUGUUUAUUAAAAACACAGCACUGUGCAAACACGAAAGUGGACGUAUACGGUGUGACGCCUGCCCGGUGCCGGAAGGUUAAUUGAUGGGGUCAGCGCAAGCGAAGCUCCUGAUCGAAGCCCCGGUAAACGGCGGCCGUAACUAUAACGGUCCUAAGGUAGCGAAAUUCCUUGUCGGGUAAGUUCCGACCUGCACGAAUGGCGUAAUGAUGGCCAGGCUGUCUCCACCCGAGACUCAGUGAAAUUGAACUCGCUGUGAAGAUGCAGUGUACCCGCGGCAAGACGGAAAGACCCCGUGAACCUUUACUAUAGCUUGACACUGAACAUUGAGCCUUGAUGUGUAGGAUAGGUGGGAGGCUUUGAAGCGUGGACGCCAGUCUGCGUGGAGCCGACCUUGAAAUACCACCCUUUAAUGUUUGAUGUUCUAACGUGGACCCGUAAUCCGGGUUGCGGACAGUGUCUGGUGGGUAGUUUGACUGGGGCGGUCUCCUCCUAAAGAGUAACGGAGGAGCACGAAGGUUGGCUAAUCCUGGUCGGACAUCAGGAGGUUAGUGCAAUGGCAUAAGCCAGCUUGACUGCGAGCGUGACGGCGCGAGCAGGUGCGAAAGCAGGUCAUAGUGAUCCGGUGGUUCUGAAUGGAAGGGCCAUCGCUCAACGGAUAAAAGGUACUCCGGGGAUAACAGGCUGAUACCGCCCAAGAGUUCAUAUCGACGGCGGUGUUUGGCACCUCGAUGUCGGCUCAUCACAUCCUGGGGCUGAAGUAGGUCCCAAGGGUAUGGCUGUUCGCCAUUUAAAGUGGUACGCGAGCUGGGUUUAGAACGUCGUGAGACAGUUCGGUCCCUAUCUGCCGUGGGCGCUGGAGAACUGAGGGGGGCUGCUCCUAGUACGAGAGGACCGGAGUGGACGCAUCACUGGUGUUCGGGUUGUCAUGCCAAUGGCACUGCCCGGUAGCUAAAUGCGGAAGAGAUAAGUGCUGAAAGCAUCUAAGCACGAAACUUGCCCCGA